CAACCCUUGAGCAAUGACAAGUACCUGCCAAACACUGUUGUGAAAACCUCUCUCCUGGGAAAACAAAGGUCAUGACAUUUUGAGCACAAUUGUGUGUGGGAUGCAUUCAUCAAUAGAGCUGGAAGCACCAACCACCAUAGGAGAGGAAACUUUUAGUUACAAGCACAUGAAUAAAUAAAAUCAAACUCAACUGGAAUGACGUUCCUGAGGAUGGAGAUACAUUUUUUUGUUGACCCAUCUAAACUUGAACAGCAAGUGAUAAUCAGUCUCCAAUCAGAAAGUCCCAGAAGUUAGCUGUUGGCCAAACUAUUCCUACUUUCAAGGACUUAUAGGAGCAGAAAUCAGAAGACUUUACUCCACACACUUCAGGUGGACAUGUGGACAAAGCCAUCGGAGAACAUGACAAAAAUACAGCAAGAGCAGAGACAAGAUCAGAUCAUCCUGGGGGCAGAUGCUGGGCUCUGACCAAUUUGAGAGAGAAAAGGAAAAAGAACCCAGCUACAAGAUGCACAAGUAGCAGGCCACAGCCACCAACAUCAGCAGAGCAAUUGGAGGCCAGGAAGACAAGGACACUUCUGAAGAGACUGAAAAAAGCAGAAGACAGUCCAAGUCACUGCAAGGUUCCAAGGUCUCUUUUUUCAUUACUGUUACAAGUACCAAGUAAGCCAAAAUCCACCCUACUCUUCAAAACCAUCUUGAAGAGUUGCAGGUCAGGGUUGCUGCAUCUGAGCAUGUUUACUCACAAAAGGUGACAGAUGCUCCUCAACUUACAAUGAGAUUACAUCCUGAUAAAUGUGUCAUAAGUUGAAAGUAUCUUAUAAGUCGAAAAUGCAUUUACUACAGCCUAACCCACUGAACAUUGUAGCUUAGGCUAGCCUACCUUAAAACGUGAUCAGGACACUUCCCUCAGCCUACAUUUGGGCAAAAUCACCUAACACGAAGCCUAUUUUAUAAUAGAGCAUUGAAUAGCUCAAAUAAUUUAUUGAAUACUGUACAUUACAUAGAAUUUGUGACAGUUUUACACCAUCAUUAUGUCAAAAAAUCAUUAAGUUGAGCCACCAUAACUCAGGGACUGUCUGUAUUUAUAUUUUUACUUCACACUAAGCUUUGAAACUGAAAUUUUUGCUCCUCAGCAGAUGGGGUUUCUGAGAAAGACCAAAUUAGUUAUAGAGCACUAGCUCCCAAAAAAAAAAAAAAAAAAAAACAGAAGAAGUCAGAGGAGGAGGGCAACAUGGAGCAGAGGAAGAAGGAGAGAAAAAGCAAGAAACCAUUAUCGCUCCCUCAUCUGAACUGCACUGCGAGUAAGCUGGGGCUUCCACCACAGUGUCCUGGAAGCCAUGUUUGCUGCCCAUUUCUGGACUCUCCAGCCACACUGGCCUCCUUUCCCUUUCUCAAACCUGCUGUGGUUCCUGCCACUUCAAGAUAAUCUCUUAACAAUCUAUUCCUUCUGCCUGGAAUGCUCUUCCUCCCACCCAACCCCGCUCUGCCCAGCUAACUCCAUUCUUUGGCCCCUGCAUCACUUUCCCAAGGAAGCCAUUUCUGGACUUCCCUGACCCCUGCCUUCCAUCUUCACUGGCCCAGAGUUCCCUACCCUAUGGUCUCAUUGCUCCCUCCCAGGCACUGCUGCCUCCCAGGACUCUUCCCUGUCGGUAAUAUAGUUCUGUUUGAUUGUUCAGUUAAUUUUGCCUCCCCUGAAGACCAUAAGCCAUGUUGGCAAUGAUGGUUUUGCUCACCAUUGCACCUCCAGUGUCUAAAAACCAUGGGCAGGUCAAUUCAUUUUUGUUGAGUAAAGGAAUUGUUCAAUAAGUGCACAAAUAAAUUCACAUUAAAACUUGUC
RNAcentral lists this long non-coding RNA (1837 nucleotides) under Homo sapiens (human). Its description in RNAcentral is "HSALNT0017135". Lineage: Eukaryota; Metazoa; Chordata; Mammalia; Primates; Hominidae. The record is from RNAcentral.